This 6213-nucleotide long non-coding RNA is filed under the name Coffea arabica (coffee). RNAcentral's name for it is "long non-coding RNA (CARA_LNC003417)". The record is from RNAcentral. Lineage: Eukaryota; Viridiplantae; Streptophyta; Magnoliopsida; Gentianales; Rubiaceae.
GCUUUUCUCCUCUACCAACAAUUACGGCAUUUUCUGCUAAGGAGAUUUAUUUGUACUUCAACCAUCAAUACUUAAGUAAAAUUAUUGUGCCGACAAGGUGAUAAUCAGACAAGCAUAAACUCUCUAGCCCCUAUCUGAUUUUAUGAUUGACUUCUGGAGGAGGCAUAUCCAUGAUUAUUUGUUUUAAGCAGUGUUUUCUGCCUUUUGCCUGUCACUAGUUAAAGUGGGAUGUCACGCGCUGCCCAAGUCUCGUUAAUUUGGAAUAUUUAGUUUCAAUGAGGAGUUGCACACUGGUGCAUGGGAAGCUCCACGUAGUGCAAGUUUUGAAAGACCACACUUAAACAUCCUUCCUCGUAUGCAUUUGUCUAGGAGGAUAUUGCUGGCUAGAAGUGGCAAAAUGGAUUCAUAUCCACCAAUCCAUCCAUAUAAACCAAUCUUAAAUGGAUUUGGAUGAUCCAUAUAAAUUCAAUGGUUUUAAAUGGAUAACCAUUUAAAUCCAAUUAUGUUGGUGGAUUUAAAUGGAUUAUCCAUCUUAUCCAUAUACAUCCAUUUAACUUAAAAAAUAGAAAACACAUUUAUAAAAAUGUGAGAUAAAAUCUUGUGUGACCAUCUAUUCUUUUCUUCAUAACUUCCUCAUAUGUCAAAUUAAUUUUGUGGGACCACCUAUUCUUUCCUUCAUAACUUCCUCACAUGCCAAGUUGCCAAUAACAUUAAUUGCAUUUUAUUUGCUUCUAGUUUCUAGACUUCUUCCAUCCUUUUCAAAAUUAUAUUUUAGUCUCUACUCUUGUUUUUUUUAAUUAAACUCUCAUGUAGUAAUGAUUGCAAACAUUUAUAUUCUUAAGUAAAGAAAAAGCGAGAAUGCAUCAUGCAGUGUCAAAAUAAUUUUUAUUUUUUUAAUUCUUUUAUUUAUAAAAAGAAUUUUUCUAACGAGUGUCCCCGCAACAUUGGUUAAGAUAUGUAAAUGACAAUUUUAUUUAUUUUUUCCAAAUCCUAGUACUUGCAAUCCCUCUCCCCUUAUCACCUAACCCAACUAUCCAAAAAAAAAGACACCUAAUUUAUUAAGUAAUAUAAGGUAGCUUGUGUAUCAAUGGUAUAAUAAGGAAUUUCAUACAUUUUUAGGUACUACGUGCACAUAUGAUGAAAAUAUUUUACUUGUCAAAUAAUAUAAGAUUUCUUGUUAGAACUGCACUUUUAUUCAAGACAUCACUCUUGAACAGGAGUGCAAAAAAUUGGAAACGUAAACUUCUUUUCACUGUAAAGCCGUAUUCAAUUCAUUCAAAAGUUAUAAAAAUGUAGCCAAGUUCUUAAUUGUUCAUUACUUUACAAAAUGAUACUUAAAGUAAUGACGAAAGAUUAAAUUGACCACAGCAGUUAAAUUUUCUUGGAACUAAACUAAUUUUAUGAAGUACUGAAAUAGAGUAGUAGUACAAGCAUUUGUUAUUACCAAAAGAUUUUAGGUGAUUUAAGAAUAGAACUUUGGGGAUAUGUAUUUUUUGGAAAAAAACAUUUGGAUCUUAAAUUUAGGAUUUGGGAGAGUAAAUGGAUAAAUGGAUGGAUCAUGGUUUACACUAUCCAUUUAAAUGACAUCCAUUUAGAUCCAUUUAUUAAAUGGUUUUAAUUGGAUUGGAUCAAUUUGAUCCACUAUCCAUUUAACUAAAACCAUUUAUCAACCAUAUAUCCAUUUUGCCACUUCUAUUGCUGGCCAUAAAAUGAAUAAUUGCAUUGCAUCCACCAUUGAGGUAAUCUCUGAGACAAUUAAAACCAAUUGCGGAAGCAAUGGAUACACAUUGCACGGUAGCAAUCAGACGAAACUUUUUUAUGCAUGGCCACAUUCGUCUCGACUCUUCCAUAUCAUUAUGGUUCGCCAUCUCAGCCGAGUCCGCGAUGGCUCGGCCGAAACAUAACCGGAACAAUGGGACCAGUACGAUACCGAUUCAUGAAUUGCAGAUUUAGCUAUAUUCGAGAUGACUCAUAAUAACUUGGCCGAUAUCGGAUGAGUUGUAACGGUUUUGGUGUGUAUCGUUGAGAAAUCAGCAAGUCGGACUGAGUUGUAUCGGAAAUGGAACCAAAAAAGUUUUUGGCUGUAGAGGGACAAAAGCUGCAGCUAACAGGGAGAUGAAGUAAUGAGAGAAGAGUAGUUCUAUUGUGAGAGUUAAUGUGGCUGUGUGUGAGAGAGAGUAAAAAAAGAAUAAAAAGGGAAGAGACCACCAGCCUUUGUGGUGGUUGGUGGUGGUUAUGGAGGAAACAAAUAGAAGCAACAGCAAUGGUAGUAGUAUGAGGAGUGACGUUAAGGAAGAAGAAAAGAAAAGGAAAAAAGUUAUAAGUUGCUCCUUAAUCUUUUUAAAAUUAUGAAUCUGCCCCAAAAGUUCCUUAAACUAUAUUACAACAUAGGUAUAUUUUUUAUGAUCACUUUUGCCUACUAUCAAUUUCAUCCUUACUAACUAGAUUCAUCUUAAGCUCUACAUUUGGUGUUUUAUUUAAUACUAGUUUGUUAAUGAAAAUUGGGGCACAAAGUAAUUUUGCUACUAUAAUUAUUACUUUUAAUGCUACAAGGCCAUGGCUACAGUAGCAUCACUUUAUCUCAAUAUUAGUUUGUAUAUAUAUGAUAAUAUGAUAUUCAACAAAUCUAAUUAGAUAAUUGUGCUUGCUAUGUUAUUUUCUAUUUUUAGUAAUUUUGUCAGAAUUUUUUAAAACUUUUAUGUGCUAUCAUAUGCAUAUCACCUAAUAUAUAACCGAUAUGCCGUGACGAAUGCGGAAUAACCGCGAUCACGCCGCAAUCGCGACCCGCGAUGGCAAACCAUGAUAUCAAGAUUGAUAAAUCAAUUACCUUUUUGAAGCUGGUUGUUGUCAAUGUUAUCAAAGGCAUGAUUCUCUUCUAUUGCAUCAUCCACUUCUACCAGGUGUUGAUGAAGUUGCUGCAAUGACAGUAAUAUAGUGGCUGAGAUGAAAAAACUACAGUUAAGGAAAAGAACAUCAGACCAUAAAGUCGUAGUUGUUUUCUACUAUUCUUGGUCUCCCAUUUGUGUAACUUGAUAAUUCCUUGAUCUAGUCUGCCUGUGAUACUCCAUCACCAAAUCGGCAAGGUAUUGGCUGUGUUACUACAAUACAUUAUCAUCUCGAACUCACAAGGCCAAGUAACGCAUCUUUCACCCUUUAUUUUCCUUCUCUAUAGUUUUUAAAAAAUGAGGAGCCUUCAAAAUAAAGUCAGUAUCACAAUAAACACAACAAAAAAUCCAAUAUGAGAUUGCAACAAAACCUCACAAUAGUAUCAAUCUAUACACCUAAGCACCGUCAAUUGCAUGGUUGGUCAUCAGUGUAGAUCACUGGUUUUAUUACCAAACUGUUCUCAGUUUCCUAUUUGUUUCUAACAUAUUACUGCCCACUAUCUUGGCAAUUUUUAGCAAAAUAAAAAUGAUUUAUAUGUAAGUAUAUGGAAAAGAUUCAGAUAACUUGGAAGCACAAAGAGAGUCUGGAGUGGUUGUAAACUAACUUCAUUUGAAGGCAGGCUCCACCUUUUGCCGUAGGAAUUUCAGCAGCCAUUGAAUUUCAAAACUCAAAGGUUCACAUGUUAAGCUAAUUGUUUCAAUUUUUUGCACCAAGAUCCAUCUUCAACAUUCAACUUUAUUAAAUCACACACGAACAUGGCAGGUACUUUUAUCUGAAUUUCUAAAGCAAACGCAGAAAACCAAAGCAGCUCUAGUCACAUACAACCUCUACUCUAAGCAAAAACCUGAGAUUGAAAAAUGAACAAAACUGGGGAAAAAAUCUGAAGAAAUCACAUUUUGCACAGUGAAACGUAAAUCGAUAAGAAUGCACACCCUUAGCAAUAUUAGCAUGAAAAUAACCUUCAAAACUUCGAAACUGUAAGUUGUUUAAACAUGUCUCGAGAACCCCAAUUUCCUACCCACCAUAAAAUUUCCAAGAAAAAAAAAUCUCAAUUUCCUCAAGCAUGAAGUAGCGUUUAAUUCUAAGACCGCGCAUGGCAAGCAGGACAAGAACUUACGACGCAUGAACUCUAACAACCAUUCUAUUGUUACUUCCAAAAUCAGGACUGUAAUAUGUAUAUCUGCAUUCCAUACCCCCAAGGUUGCAAAAAAUUUACUCUCACAUGCAAAACAAAUACCACCAUCAAUCAAAAGGAAUGGUUAACAAGACAAAUUGUUCUGUGAGGCAGAACAAAGCAAUAGAGUACAUAUUCCAACAAGAACCCAAAAUGCUCAUUAAAAAUCAAUUUGGUUCUUAACUGAAAAUGGUCAUUACUCCCACAUGCAAAACAAAUAUCAUCAAUCAAAAGGAAUGAUUAACAAGACGAAUUGGUCUGUGAGGCAGAACAAAGCAAUAGAGUACAUAUUCCACCAAGAACUGAAAAUGGUCAUUAAAAAAUCAAUUUGAUUCUUAGCAGGGUAACAAAAGUUUAAUUAAUAUGUAAAGUUUACCUGAGCAGCUUUUGGUGCAUUUCUAGGCAUUCACAGGUAGUAUGGAACUGAGAUGAAAAUGAAGCUUGUAGACCUCAUGCAUUAGUAGUUUUUUGCCUCAUUUCCUUUGCACUUCAGUUAUCCAGUUAUCUGAUACACAUUAGACAAGACCAACAUCGAAAACACUGGAUUAAUACAAAUUAAAACAAAAAAAAAGUCAUAAUAAAAUUUCGCGAAGUAGAGUAAUUAGUUGAAAUUUACAAGUCCAAUUGAAACAGCAAGCGGCGAGUCGCUCUUCUGGACAUGGACUCUACGGUGGCCACGCCUCAUGUAGAGCGUGUGGGUCUUAUUUCUUCUCUUACCAAAGCUCGCUUUUCGCUUAUCCCUUGCUGGUUACUGUUAAAUUCAUGAGUAAAAAAUUAUGUUUUACGUUAAUUUAAGAGAGAAGAAUAAGUAGUUAAUAUGUAAGGGUUCGAGACUUAAUAAUUUAAGUUUUUGAAUCAAAGUUGGAUUUCUGACUUACAUAUUGAGCUAUUUGAUGAAUUCUCUCGAGACGUUUCUCUCUAACAAGUGGUAUCAGAUUUUUAGGUUGUGACUCUAAGCUAUUUAAAGAGUUUGGUUGGUGUUGAACCAGUUGUGCUAUGGGUUUGGCAGGGGAUUCGGUUGGUGUUAGACCAAGAAACUAAGGGUUGGCAGGAGUUCAGAAUCCAGUUUGGAUGUUAAACAAGCUACUCAUGGGCAAGUGAAUUCUUUUCGAAGAAAAGCUUGUAUACUAGGAUUUAACGUGAGGUUUAAUGUGAGGGGUUAUUCAUGAAGGUAGAAAUCUGUUAGAUUCAUGAGUAAAGAAUUAUAUAUCACAUUAAUCCGAGAGAUGCAAGGGGAGAUCUGUUAAAUUCAUGAGUAAAGGAUUAUACCGUAUAUUAAUUCAAGAGAUAGAGAACACUUCAUAUGUAAGUAAGGAUCUAAAAUCUAAUAGUUUAAUCUUUUGGAUCAAAGUUGGGUUGGUGACUUACAUAUGACCUGAAACCUAAUAACUUAACUUAUUGGAUCAAAAUUGAGUUCUUGAUUUACAUAUUAAAUUCUUUGAUAGGCUCUCUGAAGGCGUCUGUCCCUAAUAAUUAUGAUAUGCAGGAUCCCAGGAGGAUACUCUGGUUUUCUAAGAAGAAAUAUAGAUAGCACAUACCUGAGGUUGGAGGAUUUCUAAAGUGGUUGAGAUUGAGAAGAUGAGAAUCAAAAAGAGGUUGAGGAGGAGGCAGCGGUGUUAGUAGAUUCAUUCAGUAGAGAGAGAGAAAUGUGAGUUGCAGCGGCAGAGAACCUCCAUAAGCCCCUCUGGCGGUCGAUCGGUGCGGUGGAAAGGGGUGAGGUGAGAGCAGAGAGGAGUAAAAGGACGCAAAAUUCAACCCUGUUAAUAAGUAAAAAUACACAGGAACGGUAUAAUAGGCAUGUAAGGGUACUACGGGUAUCCAUGUGCAACACUUUUGAGCAUAGCACACAAUUUCUUCGACACAAUAAAUAAAUGUGAAAUUACAGGGAAUAGAUAACUACUGAAGGUGUCCACAGGGACCAGAUUUACUCUUCAUAACUCCAACUCCAACGCCCCUUUUUCCUUUUGUUGGGAAUUGGGAUAUGCAGCAAUCAAAGAAGGAUCUCUUGCUGAAGAUGAUUAAUUCGGAUUUACUUUUAUUUGUUUCAGUAAAAAGUCUAGAAUAUGUCUAAAAACUACAGAUGUAGAAACAUCUGGAGACCAUAUACAGUGGCUAAUGCAUAUCAUUACUUUGUUUGGCUGUCCCGUUUUACC